CAAUAGCGUAUAUUAAAGUUGUUGCGGUUAAAAGCUCGUAGUUGGAUUUCUGCUGAGGACGACCGGUCCGCCUCCGGGUGAGCAUCUGGUUCGGCCUUGGCAUCUUCUUGGUGAACGUAUCUGCACUUGACUGUGUGGUGCGGUACCCAGGACUUUUACUUUGAGGAAAUUAGAGUGUUUCAGGCAGGCUUGCGCCGGAAUACAUUAGCAUGGAAUAAUAGAAUAGGACUUUUGUCUCCUUUGUUGGUUUGAGGGACCGAAGUAAUGAUUAAUAGGGACAGUUGGGGCGAUUAGUAUUUAAUUGUCAGAGGUGAAAUUCUCG
This 322-nucleotide ribosomal RNA is filed under the name uncultured eukaryote. RNAcentral describes it as "bacterial SSU rRNA". It matches the Rfam family "Eukaryotic small subunit ribosomal RNA", at positions 592 to 922 of the family's 1831-position model. The record is from RNAcentral.